This 489-nucleotide ribosomal RNA is filed under the name uncultured bacterium. Its description in RNAcentral is "bacterial SSU rRNA". It matches the Rfam family "Bacterial small subunit ribosomal RNA", at positions 36 to 507 of the family's 1533-position model. The record is from RNAcentral.
GACGAACGCCUGGCGGCGUGCCUAACACAUGCAAGUCGAGCGGAGUGCAGCAAUGCACUUAGCGGCGAACGGGUGAGUAACGCGUGGAUAACCUGCCCUUAUGCCCGGGAUAACACUUCGAAAGAGGUGCUAAUACCGGAUGGUCCGCAUCGGUCACAUGGCUGAUACGGGAAAGGGGGCGCAAGCUCUCACACAAGGAUGGAUCCGCGUCCCAUUAGUUAGUUGGUGAGGUAACGGCUCACCAAGGCGACGAUGGGUAGCCGGCCUGAGAGGGUGACCGGCCACACUGGGACUGAGACACGGCCCAGACUCCUACGGGAGGCAGCAGUGGGGAAUCUUCCGCAAUGGACGAAAGUCUGACGGAGCAACGCCGCGUGAGUGAAGAAGGUCUUCGGAUCGUAAAGCUCUGUCUUAGGGGACGAAAGAGUCCAGGUCGAAUACACCUGGGCAGUGACGGUACCUUAGGAGGAAGCCCCGGCUAACUACGUG